GAGAAAAAAAACUACUUAGUCCAUUUAAAUGCCAAUUGAAGUCCAGAAACUCAUGAUUUCAGCACAGUGAACGGUGAUUCAGACCCUGGCAGUGUUUUGGCUAUGAGACAAUUUCUACUUAUAAAGAGCACAAUGAGUGGUGGUGGGGGAAAUAUAGCAUUAAUUUUGAGGAAGAUUAAUAUUAGUCUUUUUAAUGCUCAUGCUUUUCUGAAGAAAUGAAUCCUUGUAGCCUUUGAGAGCUAGUGUGUCCUUCCCACUGGUAUUUAUUCAAGCAAAGAAAAAAUGAAGAAGGCGUAGAAUAAACUCCUAAGACUGUUCAAGAAUUACUGGCAUUAUUUCUCUCGACAUCACGUGUGAGCCUGGGUUGCCUGCUAUUCCCGAGGCAGAGGAUCGAGGAUGAAAGUCUGUGUGUCAGAGACUGUUUUCACAACUGCAUUUGGAGAUCUGUCUUAUUGAUUAGGAAAAAAAGGGGGUGGGAAUAGGAGUGUGAGGUGAGGGGAGGACCGACUGACUACUGGCUUAUUGCAGCUCAAGACAUUUUCUUCCGGAAAGAUGUCAAACAACUGAGACACAGCAACAGAGGAAGUAGAAAGGUGGAAAAAUAAGAAGAGGGACCUUUUGGAAGAAAUGAAGGCAUUCCUUAUGAGAGCCUUGAGGCUUUUUUUUUCUUCUAACAUCUGACCCACAAGGGCUAGAGUGACAGCGUCAUGCAAAUGCUGCAGUCCAGCAGGUCUGAGAGAGGGUGGAUGCUAGAGACUGAACGGCUUCCCGAAGAGCACUGAGUUUUCUAUGCCAGAGUCUGCUCCAGUGGCUAGGACCUUUAUGGCUGCUGUUUCUUUUGCUCUGGGCUCUGAUGGAGGAAAAAAAAAAAAAAACCACUGUGGAUCCCAUCCCUAAAGUAGAAAUUUUCUUUUUCAUUCUGCAAACAAGGCUAAAGAUCGAAGGAGAAUGAAUGCAAAAGUAAUUCAGGAUUGUGGUCGUGCCAUUAAAAGUGUUUGGCUUCAGAACGAAA
Long non-coding RNA from Pezoporus flaviventris, 1012 nucleotides. RefSeq lists it as uncharacterized. The record is from RefSeq and is a predicted model, not a curated record. NCBI's taxonomy places the organism in Eukaryota, Metazoa, Chordata, Aves, Psittaciformes, Psittacidae. The transcript has 2 exons.